AAUCAGAACAAAGGAAGACGAAGCAGAAGAGAAAUGGCAACGACCAGCAAGAGAAGGAAAUAUGCGUGCAGCACCGAUCACGCCCAGUAUUUUGGGUCAUGUUGCCAAAGAGGGACCCAAGGGUUGUAUUUAUGCCGAGAAAAAGAUGGCUAUGCUGUUAGCUACAAGCAACAUCCCAUUCACGUUUGCGGAUGUUUUCAACACGUCCAUGAAGGAUAUGUUCCCGGAUUCGGAGAUCGCUGGCCAGUACGCAAAUGGCAGAACAAUGGCACUGGAAUACUGAACGGUGCCAUCAUACAUGCCAACCCUCCCGAAUUUUCCGAGAGAAUCCCGAAUUUCGGUGCCCUUCCUGAAAGCCACCAUUCUCCAGAAUUUCUCCUAAUUUCACCCGGACAACAAAAGUGCUAAACCAUCCUUAACUGGGCUUCCGUUGCCGGGCGGACAAUAAUAACGGUGACACCUUGAAGUCAAGGCGGGAAUCAGAACAAAGGAAGACGAAGCAGAAGAGAAAUGGCAACGACCAGCAAGAGAAGGAAAUAUGCGUGCAGCACGGAUCACGACCCAGUAUUUUGGGGUCAUGUUGCUGAAGGUAGACCCAAGGAUGGUGUUUAUGCCGAGACAAAGAUGGCUAUGCUGUUAGCUACAAGCUACAUGUCCCUGAAGGACAUGUUCCCGGAUUGGGAGAUCGCUCGCCAGUAGGCAAAUGGCAGAACAAAGGCUCAAAUAGUGAAAGGUGCCAUUGCCCAGAAUUGGACUGUGCCUAAACCAACCCAUUGGUCUGAUGUGUGAUGAAAGCACAAACAGAAACUCAGAUAAAGAGUUUGUGAUAUUGGCCAGGGUUUUCUCUCCGAAAACUCAGAAGGGGGUGACGAGGUCCAGCUGGCCACAGGAUGUGGCAUUAGGGCUCUAGGCCAGCCUGUUGAUCACAUCCUCAGCAGCAUUUAUGCUCUUUGACGUCAGUGCCAAACAUGCUGAAAUCUUCAAAGAGUUUGUGCAGUUCAGACUCAGAGACUGAAGAUACUCCAAUACUGUGCAACCAGGUGGCCCAGCUUGCUGACUUGUUUUGGCAUAAACCGGGUGCUCAACCAGUGGGAUGCACAGCAGGCCAGUAUGAGGAUGUGGAGAAGCCUGACAAGGUGAAGAUGCUGGCAGAGCAUUUAACCAGCAAGAAGACAAAGUUCUUCUUCCUCUUCCAGGUUCUGAAGCCACUGGCAGAGUUCAAGGUUAUUUCAGGCUGAAGGAGUGAUGGUCCAUAGGCUACACAAGGAGAUGACCAGCCUGGUGAGAAGAUUCAUGGGAAGAUUUUUCCCUGCCAGCCUUAUUGCUGACGUCCCACUGAAGGACAUGAAGUUCAUGGAUGCCAGCCUACAGUUGCCAGACAAAGAACAGUUUCUUGGAGUAGCUGCACAAAGCCUCUGGGGGGACAAUAUGGAUGAACUUUCCUCUUCUGUCCCAAUGAUGAUCCAGGCAGUGAGAGACUUCUUUGUAGCUGUGACCGCAAAGAUGAUGACCGCAUUCCCCCUCGACAACAUCAUCCUCCACAGCCUGACCGUGUUGGAUCCAGAGUCACGGCAUCAAUUUUCUCCAAACUCAGUUAUAGAGCUAGGGAAAAGUCUGCCGCAGCUGCGGUUGGACCUGGAUAGCCUUAUGGAAGAAUUAGUGGAGUACCAUGUGCUUGUUGUAUAGGAUGUUUCUGUUGAACCAUCACUACCAUCUGUUGCACAGAGCGGGUUCCCCAGUGAAUACUUUCACUCCUUCAUGAACUCAGUGGAAAUGAUCACUGUAGAAUUAACCUCGCCUGUGGAUGCUGUUAUGGCCUGCAAGCCAGAUGAGAAGAUGGUGUUGAACAAAGGCAGCUAUGACUCCACCAGCUCCAGGUUCUCUAACCCAAGUUACUCUGAGCUUUGUAGCCUCCUCCUAUUUCCUCACUCACUGCUGGGAAUCUGAAGCCCUGUGCGGCUGACACGCCUUAUGGCCCUGUUGGUACUCGGGGUGAAGGAAAAAGCACAGAACAGGAACAACUGGUACACGUGUUAUUGUUAGCUGUGCUCUUUUUAUUCCAGCUGGUGAGGGAUCCACAGCCUGUAGCAGCCUCACACACCUUUUAUCACCGUUUCCUCCUCAUGUCCUCAAAGGGCCUGUCUGCACACUGUUAUAUCAUGAGUAAUAGUUGAAAAGAAAUCUGUAUACAUAAAAUAUGUGCAUGCACACACACACAACUAAAUAUGUAAUAUUUAGAGUCACUUUUUUAAUUUAGAUAAGGUAGUUUUUUUAGCCUUAGAUACAAACAGUGAAGGGCAGAAAGUGAGACCAUUUUCAAUCACUAAGACAAGAAUUCAAAUGAACACUUAUUUGUUUCUACUUUUGCAAGCUAUAAAAUUAUAGCUCCUCUGAUGAGACUCCUCUCUCCUGUCCCCAGGACAGUAAAACUCUUCAUGAGUGAAGACGACAUUGACUUUAGAGCUGGAAUAUAAAGUAGACCCCAAUAUUUCGCUUCACAUAAACAUCGUCAUUUAUUCCCUCUUACUGUGGCUGUUUUUCUUCCACCACGAUAAAAUCACACUUCAUGCAGAGCUCUCUCUCUGAGGAAGAGUUUCCCAUCUAAAAAUCUGUUUUCUGCAUUAUUCUCUUGCUUAUUACCCACCAGUCUAACGUUGUUUACAGCACUGUCGGACGUUAUUACUGUUCAAUACUGAGCAAACUUCUUAAAAUGAUGCAAAAUUGCAUACUGCUUAGCUGUACUUUGCUCUGCUUCAAUUCAGCAGCAUCAGGUAAUGUUCGCUUGUUGAUUCAUGGUUUUCUCCAGUUUUUGUUCUACUGC
Oreochromis aureus is the source of this 2821-nucleotide long non-coding RNA. RefSeq lists it as uncharacterized. Lineage: Eukaryota; Metazoa; Chordata; Actinopteri; Cichliformes; Cichlidae. The transcript has 9 exons. The record is from RefSeq and is a predicted model, not a curated record.